This is a non-coding RNA of Equus caballus (horse), 14804 nucleotides long. The record is from RefSeq and is a predicted model, not a curated record. Lineage: Eukaryota; Metazoa; Chordata; Mammalia; Perissodactyla; Equidae.
UCUUCCUCAGCAAAAAAGAGGAGGAUUGGUGGCAGAUGUUAGCUCAGGGCUAAUCUUCCUCAAAAAAAACAAAAAGUGGCUAAAGAAAUCGACCAUUCUUCUUGUUAUUACUGAUGGGAACGGCCCUGGCUUCCUCAUCUGGAGAGGGCCUUGACAUUGUCUACAACUAUCUGUGAGGUAUUCGGGGGCAUUGUAUUGUCCCCACUUAAUAGACAAGGAAAUGGAGACCAAGACGUGCUAAGAGAAUUAGGCAAGGCCAGGGGUACACUUAGGCCUUGAACCAGAGCUUGAAGCUCAGUCAAUGUCUUUGCCACCAGCUUCAGACAGUUCUGCAUGAUGCACUUUUCUCCUCACUGUUCUCUGACGUUGAGAAACCUAACAUUUUCUACUUCUCUUGCCCCUGCUUGUCCCAGCGUAGCUGCUCAAGUAAUAAACACUCCUUAAAUAGGAAAGAAUGCUGGGAUAGGAAUCUGGGGGUUUCCUGUGACCCUCCCCCAGGCAAGCUGGCCUGAACUAUGGCAGCUCCCAGGGGCUCCAUGCCAGGCAGGCCUGGCUCUCCCAUGCCCACUCCCCAACCCAGCCUUUGGGUCUGCCCCAGUGAUCUGGCAGGAAUGGGCACUGCAGUGCCGGCCAUUUUGAGCUAGCAGGCUCCCCAUGCCAAUCUUGGAGAGAGGACAGCCCAGGGAGCCGGCAUGAUGAAGACCCCCAAUCAUAAGGCAAGUGGCCUGCAGCCAGGCCUCUGCUGAAGCCUUCCCCUGGGCCGCCCCCGGGCCACAAGUGGGCGUCCUGGGGGGCUUCUCUGCUGCAGACCCUGCUGUGCUCCUGAGUUUGUGAUCUGUCCUUGGAGAGGGGCAAUCAGUUCUUCCUGUGACUGCGUGGUGACAGCUCCCACGCAGCCAACCGUGGCUGCAGGGGGAGCUGUGCAUCAGGGAAAGUGGGUGCAACCAAGACAGGGCUGUGUGUGAAUGUGCACAUGUGCAUGCAAGCAGUACAACGAAUGCCGCCUGGAUUUUCAUUUUUGCUUGAGGCAAACACGACGACAUUUCCACAGUCUUGGAGUCAGACGAACCUGAGUUCAAAACCUUGGAAGGUUGCUUACUUUGCAGAUGAUCUUGGCAAAUGAACUUCCCCUAAACCUCACGUUUUUUAUCUUAAAAUGGGGAGGAUAACACCUGCCCGCAGGAUUUGAAGUAAAAUGCUUGCAAGGCACCCACUCAUGACUGGCAGGCAGUAAAUAUUCAAUAAAUGCCAACCGUCAUCACUGUUGCUCUUAGUGCCAACCUUGAGUGUGCCCAGUCUGGUUAUUAUUGUCCCUGUGAUGUGACGCUGUUUCCCCAUGCCCUGCAGAGCCGCCAGCUGACAUUAUGAUGUCUCCAAGUGCUGCAGAACCCAGUGCUCUCCGCAUCGGAAAGGAGCCUUCCUCCUUGGGGUGGAGCCUGUGUCCACCAGCGGCCCCAGAGGAGGAGCAGCCAUCGCAGCGAGGGUCCAGGGCUCCACAGGCAGCGGGGUGCGGGGAGGGCCAGGAUGCUGCAUCUCCGUGGAAGCCACUUGUCUCUUCUCUUUAGAAGAACCUACGAGGCUCCCCAGGUCCUGCCCUGGAUUGGCAGUUUGUGACGGCCAGAGGAGACUUUUCAGACACUCCUUCUAGAGAUGGGCAAAGGGACACAGCGAGUUUUGAGGUCCAGGGUUUUGGAUCUCGAUUCCAGCACCAUUUUCCCCUUAUGCGGUCUCUAGGGGGAUCAAGCCCAAAUUCUUAUCUAGGCACCUGAGCCCCUGCUCUCCCCAUCCUCUCACUCACGCAGCCUCAUUCUCCCCGUUCUCUGCUGGGUACCGUCUGCGCCUGCCAGGCUGGCGUCUUCUGAGCCAUCCCACUGCCCCUCCACCUGCCCUUCCCAGUCUCUGCCCACCCACACCCGUCCGGCCCCAGCCUCCUUCAGGAUGGCCACCACGUCUGCUGGAGCCAGAAGCCUAAUUACAAGUGGCCUCAUCUUGUUCCCUGACCUUCUCCUUGCCUAGUGCUGCCUCUGCAGCCAGACUGAGGGUCCCUGGGGGCAGGUGAUUGGCUGAGUGGAGGAAGCACUAUUCCCAUCAGAGGUUUGGACCUGCACAGACACUCAGCAAACAACAAGUUUCUGAGCACACGGAACCAGCUCUCAGAUCGCAGUGGGAGGCGCUGUCUCUUCCCAGCUAUGUGACCUCGGGCAGGCUCCUGAAUCUCCAGGCUUCAAUCUCCUCCUCUGCAAAAUAGGGGAUAUGGCAAACAAAUGCUUAAUUGCACCUUUUUAAAAGGCAGCCUCCCUCGAAAAGGCCUUUUAAUGUGUGGGUAUGGAUUUCGGGGGUGCCCGCCUAACAAAAGCAGGGCCCCCUAUAUAAAGCAGCAAGAGAUCCGGCUCUGAAAGCUAUUUUAUUCCCCUUUUCAGUGGGAAGAGUCUUCGCCAUUAGCUCUAUUUGACUCUAAACACAGCCUGGAGACUUCCUGUGUCCCCAGGCACCCAUUUGGCUGGUACCGAUCCAGAAGUACCACUUAAAUUAGUGCCAUGAAUAAGAAGGAAGAAAAUCUGAAAAAUGGGUGAAGUAUGCGCCAAGAAUCUCCCACUUAUUUAUGUCCUCCUAAGGGAAACUGCCUGAGAUGGAGAAAAGAAUUUCGCCGUUCUUGGUAAGAGACUGCUUUGCCCCAGCAUCAAAGUCUUCCUACGACUCUCAUUUAGAGGGAGAUGCCCACAGGAGAGGGAUUAAAGAGGCGCUAAGAGGUACAUUCCUGCUCUGGCAGGGGAUUUCCCCUAACUCGCUGUAGUCCUGCUAACACAAUCUCAUCUUCCCUUAUGGAGAAGGAUGACUCAGUGUGAGCUUUGUUUUCUGCUUGAAUUUAAGCCACGUUGUGUGCAAGGACAGUAUGGCACGGCCCCUGAUUAAUCGCAGAGAGCGUCCGAGCGACUCAGUCGGUUCCGCUCCGACAUGAGCGCAGUUAAAAAACAGACUCCUUCCUCUCCCUGGGGACACAGCCACCAGGACAUGAAGACCUCUGCUUCGAGACAGUCUCACAGGGGCUGGUCUGUAGCCAGAGCCUGGGUAAGAACUCAAGAAAACCCCUGCAUAACGAGGCUGGCAUCAUUUAAUAUGUUUUUAACCUGCUAAUAGCCGGAAGGCAUGGAGACACAGCUGGCUGGCUAGAUCUGAGCAGAGGGCACUGAGCGCCCAGGGAGGGCACAGGGGUGUGAGGCUGCUGCCCUGCCCGGCCCGGCUGGUGGCGAGGGCCUUCUGUUAUGCGUAGCGCAGCUCAAACCACCAAAGGGCCCAGCUUCUCCAUGGCAACCCCAAACAGUCUGUUCAUUCCAGAGGCUACCCUGGCAGCAAAAGUGGACCCAGUGCCAUGCAAUGGUGUCCUUGUGACACACAAUGGGAAGUGCGAAACGCUUCCUGAUUGACCAUCGGCGGCCCUCUGGGAAUGCUCCCAAGGGUGAAGCCAGCCCAGGCAUGGCCAUGGAUGGUCUCAGAGAGUCAGGGGACAGGGAUUUACAGACAGGGAAUCCUAAUUUAUGGGGAACUCAUAAUUUAUGGGCCUGGCAGCCUCCCUGAAAGAGAUGAGGGUUUAGGUGGAAAGAAAAAGUGGGAGGGAUGGCAGAGGCGACGGGUGGGGGGGGAUUCCAUACGAUUCAGCGACUCUGGAGUGGCUGGACUGAAUCUCCUGCUGUGUGUUGAGGACACUGCCCCUCUGUCCCUAGACAAUCAGGGUGCUUCUCCUCUCUUCACUCGGACACACACAGUCACACUCAUGGCCUGGCCAGUGGCUGCCGCCCCCCACCAUCCUACCUGCUCCUUCUUUCUCUGUUUCUGCUCCAUCCAUGCUGGCUGCAGCCUCCCCCAGCUCUGGGUACUGACACCUGCCCACCUUCCCAGGCCCUGGCGCUGAGAGGGCUUGUAGGAGGGACAGAAAGGGGCCGGGCCUGGGAGUCAGAUAUACAGGGAUCUGAACCUGUCCCCUGGAUUUGAGUUGCCUGGGGCAAGUUAGUUAACGUGCAGGAACCUAUUGUCUUAUCUGUAUGGUAGAGACACAAACACCGGCUUUGGAAGGGUUUUAUGGGGAACAAAUGGGGUAAUAUAUGUAAAAGCAAGUGCCACCAGUGAGAGCAGGAGCUUACCUCCCCUGCCCGCAUUCCUCCCUUCCCACAGCCCACUGCGCUCUUCCCUCUGGCCCCCGGAGGGUCCCUCGGUCUGGGCACCUGCACCAGAUGACCUAAGCUAGGAAAAGUGAUCACCAAAGGAGAGGCUAAGAAAGUCCACCAGGAUGUUCCUAACACUCUGUCUCUGUUGUGGUAAACGAUGACUUUAAUUUACAAAGCAGAUGAAUACUAAAUCUUCAUGAAAUUAAAAACUAUAUUAUUUAUGUGAGCGGAAACGGAAAAUGUUCCGUAGCUAGCAGCCAUCCCGCUUUGUAGGAGGAACACUAAAAUAAUUAAAAUCACUCGUGCUUCAGUAAUAAAUAAUGAUAAUAAAUAAAUGUCCUGACCUUAAGCGAAAAUAUAAAAUUAAAACCCAUUUGGUAUGUAAAUUCAUUCAGGAGCUAGCGAGUCUCUCAGCCUAAGACGGUGCGGGAUGGAGGAAGUGUUCCCUACGUGAAUUUUGAAAGGAAAAUCAAAGAACAACAGAGUUGUGUGUGUACCGACUCAUUAUGCUACUUUAAUUCCAUCUAAUGCUGUGUGGAGCCUUGAGGCUGGGACAUUAAUAUCCUGCUUUUUCUGUUUCACCAAUUCCUCGUGGAGACCAGGAGAAAGAAUUUCAAUCCUGGAGGCUGAAAUCAGGGGAGGCCAGAAAAUUGCGGGAGAGGUGGAGAAUGGAAACUUGGGGAGGCAAUUUUUCACGUGUUUGUAGAAAAGAAGCUGGCAAAGAAUGGCCCUGGUGCUGGCUGGGGCUGGGUCCUCGAGGGUUUGGGACACAAAUUAUCCAGGGGGAUGAAAUGUCCCUGGUCUUGGGUCCAGGUGGGAACCAUUCCAGGGCCCCGAGAAGCCGGGCAGGAAGUCUGUGGACUGCCUUUGACUUCAGGAAAAUGCCAACCAGCUCCAGAUGGUGCACACCCCACCCCCCAAAGCCUGACAGCCCAGCGCCCAGCUUUACCAUGAAGUAACUGCAUGUUCCACGAAGCCUGCACACCCUGAAUAAGGCCAGCCCAGGAAACUGCAGGGCAACGUGCCAGACAGAGAAAUCAGAAACUUUCAACCCUGCUGUGUAAUAAAAGGAUGGACCCCCUUUUCACCUUGUCCCCACCUCCACAGCCUGCCUCACCCAGCCUCUCGUUGCAGUCCUAGAACUACCUUGUGAGGGAGCCAGGGCACGCUCCCUGGACCACUGGUCCUGACCCCACGUCCCCUGAAAGGUGUGACAUCCUCCCACCCCCUCACUACUGCCCUAAAGGAGUAGGCGGAGAGGCUGCACCACAGGAAAGACGGACCUCCACACUCUGCUAUCCAAGGGGACCCACAGUCGCCAGCAUCCCGGGGAGCUGGGGCCUUGGGGAGAGCGGAGGCCUGCGGAUCUAUUCAUGCAGAAUCCCCUGUUCUGUCGUCCAAUACAGCGCACCACUCUUCCAGGUGGAAAAGAAGGGAAAAAUCCAACCCAAGUCCUUCAGCGUCUGAAUGACUCCAAACCAUCCAGGUUUGUAAACAAAACACUGGGAUAAAUGACUGAUUUUCUCCACUUUUGAAUCUCAGACAUUAAAACUCAUUGAACCAUCAACAAGCCACCAACAAGGUCCUCUGAUGACACAUGUUCUUUCUCCAGCUUGGUGACAAUCUCCUCCAUGUACUCCUGGGGGCUUAGGGAGCCCUGCCUCCCAUAGCAGAUCUGUGGCCCCCUCCCAAUCCGCUAGGGAGCUCAAGUGCCCUCCUGCUCCUGCGUGCUAAUUUCUGUGUGACUCCACGAAGGACACAAAGACAAAGACAGCCACAGCACGCAAGCAGAGAAGAAAGGCCCUGACGGGGUCAGGGGGAGCCAGGAAAAUAGCCUUAAAAACCUACAAAGCCAAACGGUGGAAAUUUCCUAGAAAAGCCUUCCAGGUGAGGCAUGAAGCUCUGGACCAGCAUGCCAGCGGGGAGAGGCCACUGGCUAACCUGCAGAUUAGGGAGGCUCCCAUAUCCCUUUGAGGGCCAGAAGAGGGCCCCUUUCUCCCAACGGUAAAGAAGCCUCUCCUCUUGGCUGUCCCUGAGAAGGAGUGAGGUCGCCUUGAGAUCUCUGUUUUUCCCUCUCAUUUGGGCAUAUAAGCCAUACCCCUGGCAUGUCCGCUCUGGAAAGGGGACUGAUUAUUCCUGCUAACAGGCCUUUGUGACCCCAAAGCAGGGGCCGACCGCAAGGCAAACCUGGGCUGCAGCUGUCCAAGCAGGGGCCUGAGCGGAUCUCUGUGCUCCUCAAGAGGCCUCGGGCCUGCUGCCGUGUGGAAUCCGGGCCCCUCUCUGGGCUCACCUGCCGCCCCCGCCCUGCUCCCAGGUCAGAGCAUGCUUGUGCAGCUGCCCUAGGAUACCAAGGACAGCUCCAGGAGGCUGGGUUCAGAGACACCUGGCUCAGCUGCCAGGACUCCUGGGUCUUUGGGUCAAAGUGACCUGGAGCUUUGGAUGGGCAGCAUGGGGCUCAAUGUGGAAAUCAAUUCCCCUGGGACUAAAGAUACUGCCCCCUCUUCCUUGUCUCCCCAGAGCUCCCAUCAUACAGCUUAAUGCCCCAGGCUUCUAACACCCUUCUGAGCCCCUGGCCAUGUCUCUUUUGUGAAGCCUAUGGCUGCCACGGGCCAGCUGGGACCACUGUCCUCUGAUGAGGAUAGAACUCUCCCCAGGAUGCUUCUCUAACUCCUUUUUUUCCACAGCAGUGAGUAGGCGUGGGCUGGCUCAAGUAGGUGCUCAACAAACACCCACUCAUUCACCUAACAUUUACCAAAAACCUUCCACGCUCUGAGCCCAGAGGGCCCAAGAACAGCUCAGAGGCUGGAGUGGACAGGUGCCGAGGGAAGUAGUUUGGGGGAAAGUCAAGAGUCCUUGUUUCUCCACUGGACACCGACUGAGGACUUGUGUGUGUCAGACUCAGGAGAGAGAGGAGGGAAGGGUCAUCCCACCUUUGGGGGGGCGGGGGAGGGGGAGGGUUGACAGGAAAGCCUUCAGGGAGGAGAGGUUUUGAGAGGGGAGUGAAUGUCCCCUGGGUAGGAGGAGUGAUGGGGCUACUUCAGGAAGAGGAAGGAGUGAGGGCAAAGGCUGAAAGGAACCUGCAUAGAGAAUGCCACGCUGCUCCCAGGUGGCCGCCCAGUAGGCAGGUGAAAGGAUGAGGGACAGCUGAUGAGGCUGGAGCACAACGAGGAGGGCAGUCCACCCUGAGCGAGGAGGGGUCUCUGGAGGGUGGGGAGACAGGCUGAGGGGACAGGGACAGGAUGCCGGGAGACCCAUUCAGGGGCCUUUACAGUGAUCCAGGGGAGUCUGGAUGAGGACCUUGACCGGCACGGUGGGCACGGGGAUGGAGAGGAGGGGAUGGAUGAUGGGGAGAAUUUAACAUGUUGAAUUGACAGUGAUGAGCCAAUGGCUGUGGGGGGUAAGGGAGAGGGAGGAGUCAGGGAUGAUCCCUGGGCUGGACGUGGGCGUCCAGGUCAGGAAAUCCAGCAGCCAGGCUACAUGGAAGAUGAAGUAAGGCUGAGCUGCUCACUGGCGCCCAAGGCUUUGCCCAGGCAGCAGCUGGUUGUGUGGACUGGGAGCCCAGAGAAAGGGCUGGCCUGGAGGUGGGGGGGAUGCGGGAGCCCCAGACUCUGUCCCAGCUCUGUCCUUUCCCCUUUCAGUCCACUCUCCCACGUGGCAGCCAGAGGGGUCCAAUUCAAAUGCCCCAGGGACACCGGCCUCUCACCUGCUCCUUGCGCAGGCCGGGCACACUUCUCCCUCAGGGCCUUCGCACUUCUUCAUCCUCUGCCUCGAAUGCUCCUGCCCAGAUAUCCACGUGGCUCCCCGCUUUCUUCAGGCCUUUGUUCAGGUGUCACCUAAACAGGCUCUUAGUAUCGCAGCCCACCUCCGCUCCAGCCUGGAUCUCUCUGACUUCCUUCCUGGCUUUAUUUCUCGGGAGCACUUUUCACCAGCUGACAUUUAUUUAUUUGUUUUCUCAUCUGUCUCCAUCCAUUGGCAUGGAAGUUCCAAUAAAGCAGGGAUAUUUGUUCUGAUUAAGCACAUAGUAGGUACUAAAUAAAUGUUUUAUUUAGUGAAUGAAUGAAUAAGUUAGUGUUCUCUGGCUGGCCCUGCCUCCACCUCCACUGAAUACAAGAUGCCUUGGUUUGCCGCUAACUUAGAGCUGUGCCCUCCUAGCCUCGCACUGGUCUGGGUCUUAGGUCCCUGAAUGGCUACUCAGGACCCUGGGUUCCAGGCGGCCUGGACUUCGGAUGCUGCCCCUGCAGCCGAGGCGUUGAAAUGCAGCCUCCCUGUGGGUGGGGACCUCAGCACGCGCGUGCGGCCACCCUCAGGCCUCACGUAGGUCUGCAGAGGAAUGCAGAGCCUGGGCAGGACGCCUGGAGUUUGGACAGAAUUUAUUGCUCUGAAGGCUCCUUGAGUUUUAAGGUCUUAAACAUCAACCCACAUACUUUGGCAGAGGCAGAUGCAAAAAAUAAAACCCAAAACCUACAGGAAACAAUCUGGGGAGAGCUGGAGGGGGAGUGUGAAAUGGUCAAAACAUAUGGGCCAAAGCCUGAAUAAACAGCAGAAGGGCCAGCCCAGUCUAGGGCCUUUGAGAGAAAACAUCACAAUUUAGAAUGCUGCUUGGGAAGAGGCAGAAAACUCUAGAAUGUAAUCUUCCUUCAAGGCUGCAUCUCUUGCUGGUACUAGGGCAGGUAAAAUACAAGAGGAAUCAAAUAGAAAAGGUGACAAGAGGCAAGAGAGGCCUUGGAGCCAGGAGACCCAGCCAUACAGUUAGCUUUGCCAUAGAUGCUGUGUGACCUUGGACAUGUCCCUUCCCUCCCUAGGCCUUUGUUUUUGUCUGUAAAGUGAGAGGUUUGAACACUGGGCCUUCUGGCUCUGCUGGCUGUUCCAUUUCUUAGUAUUUAGGCGGCCUCCUUCAGAACGGCCAGCUAGGCUCACCCAGCAUGCCAGAUGCAUCCCCUUGCAAGUUAUCACAAUAUGGUAGGACCCAGAAUGUCCACAGUUGUUCAGUGCACAGCUUGUACGGCUGUACAUGGCAGCCUCAUUUGCCCUGCACUGUAGACACCAGCAUCCCUUGUAAAGACCACCAAGCCCCGAUAUUUGGGAAGGCUCCUUGAGAACUGUUGUGGGUCAUGGCGGUACUGGAUUUAGCUUCUGGACUGUGUAGCAUCCAGAUGGCUGCCGGGUUGGCCCUGCUUUGCUCAACUCAAAUUUUUCUCUGAAGCUGAAAGGCAAAGCUUGUUUUCCUGCAGGUCCCAAAUGUGCCUUCUGUCUGUUGACCCUUGUGCUGCAUCCAGCAGGGGUUUUAGAGUUCUUCCUUCGUUGGAGUCUGGGCCAAGGCUGCUCAACUUGGCUCCCACUUAAAAGGUGACCUGGAUUGACAUUGCUGCAUUUCCCAUCUCUGCCUGCAGUAGUGCAGAGCAAAGCUGAGCUGAGGUGGGAGGGUGGGCAGGAUUCCAGCGUAAGCCCCCAAGGCCCACAGCUCCAGGGCGGCCCCACAGGCUCGGGGCCUCUCCUCUGCCUGGACACGCCCGGGCCACCCUAUUAAUAGACCAGCUCGGAGAGCACUGCCUCCCUCGGAGUUUCCAUUUCACUUGCACUACAUCUGGCUGUCCCAGUGGGGACAGCUUCCUUGCAAAACAAACAGCAGAAUCAAUAUUUCCUUCACCGGGGGAGGGGUCGGGGCUUCAGAUGGCAGGCCAGGCCCUCUCUCUACUCCUGCUGGCUGGGUUCAAGGAAAGCGGCAAACAGGCCGCCAGGCCCUUUUCUGCCUCAGUUCAGCGAUUUGAUUACAUUAAAUUAACAGACAUUUGUCGAGCACCUUCAACAUAUCAAACCCCACGGGGCGCAAGGGAGAGAAAGAUGAAUAAGACACGUCCUGGGCCCUGGAGGAGUGCACGUGUUGCAGGAGACAGACACCUAAACGAAGAGUUAUGGUGGAUGUGGAAGCGGGGCAGACAGGGUAAGGCCAGGAGGACCAGCGUCUGAAACCAUCCGUCUUGGGGCACAGUCGGUGCCUGACACAAAGGCGAACCAGACCUGCAACGCCCCCCAGCGUUCACGGCCUGGCUGUGCGGACACUGUCUCCCAGGUCACUGUUGAGGUGGCCCCCCAAUCCCCAGGCCUGACAGGAGAGCUCUGCGCGUGGUGGUGGCGGCUCCUCCCGGGGACUGGAGGGGCUCUGGGCCAGGCCCAGCACCAAUUCUCUCUGCCUCCUCUGGGUAUCCUCCAGUCCACCUGCUGGGACAGCCUGGAACAACCCCGGCCUCCACUCUCAGUGCAUGAAAGUCCUGGGGAGCUCGUUAAAAAUGCAAAUCUAGGCCACAGCCCUAGAGGUUCAGAAUCAAUAAACUUUGGUUGGAGGAGUGGCUGCAUCUGGGAAUCUGCCUGUUAGAGAGGCAUUGUGGGCAGGGGCCAGGGGCAUUCACACCCCCUCAGCCCUUGCCACCCACCCCCCUGGCAUGGGAGUCAGUCAGCUUUUGAUGAAUGAAAUGUUGAAGGAUGAUUCUCUCAGGGUGAGACGGUGGGGGGUGCAAAACUGACUCCAGGCCCCCUGGCCUCUAGGGCUGGCCUCUCCACCCCACAAAUCUGCAUGUGCAGGCCUGGCUCCGCGAAGCCUUCCGUGAUGUUCCACCGACGGGAUUUUUCCCAGCUCUGCACUUAAAGACCUCAAUGUCAACAGAACGUGAGGGUGUGAGUGUGUGUUGUGUGUGUGUCUUUUAUCAGAAUCCUGGGUGCAAGAAGGAUCCAAAUCCCACAUUCCUAAAAGAUCUGAAUACAUCCCAACCCCCUACUACUCGCUGUCCCUCAGGGAUCACGAGAGAUCUGAGGGUGACGGGGACAGUGGCCCCCGGACCUACCAUCAGCUGUGUGCCCCCUUGAAGGAUCUCUGGUGUUUCUGUCUGUUUGUUUAACCUGCUGGCUGGCUGGCCUAUCCUGACGGCCCCCUGGGCUCCACCAUGGCCAGGGUCCACGUUGGCCUCACCCCGAGGUGUCCAGGGCCGAGUCCUGCUGAGGGCCGGGUCUGGGCCAGCACCAAGCGGACCUCAGCAGACCCGUCCCUAGACCCCAGGCUGCUCCGGACGCUGCCUGUGCAUGUACUGGCCUCACAAACAGUGCGCUGCCCAGCGCGAGGCAAAGGUGUGCAAAGCGGAGCCUCUUUCAAAGGAAGCCAGUCAGGAAUUUGGGAUUCAGAGAGUUUCUCCAUUUCAGAGGGAUGGAGAUGCCCCGCAUACACGGUCUCAUUUUUGUUCACAAGCUGGGAGUCAGUGUGACCGCUUAGCAAAGGUUGGAGUGGAUUGCUCUGUCUCCCCUAAAGACAGUUCCAUGAGAACAGCCUCUGUUCCUGAGAGCCUCCGCAGGACUGAUCACAAACAUCAUGGGGAGUGAGAAGCCCCGAGGCACCACUGUCGUGGUGUGGAGAAGAAAACCACAUAGAAGGGAAAACAGACUCGCCUAUGGGGGCAGCACGAGUCUCCAAGGCCCUGGUGCUGAGGCAGGCAGGGGAGGCCUGGGCGUGGGCGGGUCUGGAGCACCCUUGGAGCUCUGGCCCGGCAGCAGGUGGGAGGGGUGGGAGAGGGUGAGCUGGUGAGGGAUGCUGAGGCCCCAGGACAUAGCCUCCUCGGCCUGCUCCCAGUGGGCAGUGUGCUUUCCCACCGGACAAAGGGGGAGCUCCGGGCCUCAUGUGGCCUCUUACCAAUUCAGCCUCCCUUCCAUGGCCCACUUGGUGUCCAGCUUUGUGCCAGGCUAGGCCGUGGGGAGGCCAGGAGGAGGAGCAGGCCCUGCCACUGGGUCCCCACGGAGGGGAUGGGUCAAGCCCACAGCACCUGGUGGGGAUUCGGACAUGCCGAGUUGUCCGAGGUUUCUGUGAAGACUGACUGGAGGGUAUGGGAUCCCCACAGUGGGAUCCGGAAGACAGGUAGGGUUGGGGUGAGCGGAAGGCUGGUGAGAGGGCACUUCAGAAAUAAACCACCACAGAAGAACAGGCCGGAAGACACGCAAGAAAAACGUUACAACGGGGCCAACACAGGCUGUUCCUUCUCGAGCCCCUGAAUUUUCAGUUAAUAAAAACUAGGCCGCUUUCCCUGCGCUUGUGUCAGGAUUCGGCGUGGCACAAGAAUGAGAGAGACCACCUGGACUUUAGACCCUGGGCACGGAGCAGCUUAGCCGGCAUGUUUUAGGAUAAUAAAAGAGCCUAAUGGAGAAGCAGUGCCUCCUUACCCUAGAGCUCUGAUUAAACUCUGGAAUAUGGGUGACACGUACACCGAGGAGGACACAGUGCGGUUAGAAUUCUGCCAGCAAACAUUCUAAAAUAUUCAUGAAACACGGGACUAGGCCUGACUGUUAACACUGCAACUGGUUCCCUCCAAUGGAGUGACAAAUGGGCGCCAAACAUCGUCAUCUGUCCCUUUGAUGGUUCCAGGUCCCACCAGAGAGGGGAGGGGGCCUCGGGCGGCCCAGGGAGGCUGCAGAGGAGGGGCCCCAGCCGAGCUCUCCCCGUGGCUUCUAUUUCCGUGUAAGAGGGCAAGGGAACAGUGAAUUUCUUCAGACUCGGAGGCAAAAUAAUUGAUUCUCCAAGUCUUACUCCAUCAAAAGUGAUUAGUGGGGGGGCCCUGGGGAUUCCACGACACCACACUAACCUCCUCGCUGAAAGGAGCAUUGUUAAAUACACAAAUCUCAACAAACGGCAGAGGCAAAAAGCAAAACGGCUAAAAAAAGUAAAUUGGCCUGCGAAAGAAAAUAAGGAGGAAGAGAAUAAAAUGAACUCCUGGCUUUCCUGGUUAAGAGCUUCUUCAGAGCUUCUAGACAUGCUGAGAGGGAACCACAGAGCAAAAUUGCUGCAAUUUAACAGGGCAUCUAAUUAGAAGCAGCAACAUGAAGGGCCUUUUCUUCCUGCUCUGGAUUUUGCUUCUUUCUAUGCAGGGUUCAGAAGUAUGACAACUCGAGGACAAAGAGCUAUGUCCCCAAAUAAGAAGAAGGAGCAUAUCAGCUACUGAAUUACUGGUUUUUAUAUCCUUCGUCCAACAAAGGUGGCCGAGGCAUGCUAUGUGCCAGCUGCUAUGCUAGAGCGGAGGUGACAGAGAGGAAUAAGACACUGGCAGCACCCGUUGGGGAAAGAGAAAGAGUUUAGACAACUAAAAUACAGUGUUGAGUGUGCUAAGGCACUGGGGCACGCACCUCCUUAGGAGGGGCGGAUAAGCCAAGCACAAGGCCCCUCUCCCUCCUCCCCGAUUGGCAAAGUGGACAUUCCAUGCAAACAUCUUAUUAUCUCGACUUAGAAAGGGAACACUUUCAAGGUGCAGGGGAUGAGGAGUGACUGCUGAAUGAGUCUGGGUUUCCUUUUGGGCUGAUGAAAAUGUUCUCGAACUGGAGAGUGAUGAUGGUUACAAACCUUGUGAAUGUACUAAACGCCGUAGAAUUGUGCACUUGAAAGUGGUGAAUUAUAGGCUUAUGUAUAUUUUACCAUAAUUUUUAAAAAGUAACAUUUUCUGAGUCACAUUCAAGUGAAGCUUUGCUUCCAGCUUCAAAGGUUCCUCGACAAUCCCUGAGACGGAGGCGGGGUGGGCGGGCAUACUGAGCCGGUGAAGCCUUCCCAGAGGCUUGCCACUCACUGUCCCUCUGCUCAGUCCCGGCUCCCGGCUGGGCUUCACCAUCAGAGGAGGAAGGAGCCCAUCAAGCCGCAUCACAGCUGCCCUCUGAAAGGCCACCGAGAACUGCUCCCAACAGCAGAGUCUCCGGAGCUUUUCCUGGUCUAAUUUUAAACUCUCUCCGGUGGCAGAGCCACUGCAGAGCUUCUCCUCCUCUUGAGAAGAGUCUGCUAUUGUGUGGAAGUUCCUUUCUGGGAAGGUGGCUGGUGGGCUUGGCACAGUCUCCUUUCUAUCGCCCCUCGAUGAUGUCUCCCGACACCAGCGUCCAGUUUCCAGUUACCCAUGGGUCGCCUCCUCUUGGUGAGGGAGUUCACCAAGCCAAAGAUCUGGGGAGGCUGCUGGGGUGGGGAGGAGAAUGAGAGGAGGUGGAAAUGGAGCUUUCCUCAGAUUUGGCAGAGACUCCCAGCCAGAUUCUUCCCUUGAAUUUGAACUUAGCCACUCAGCACUAAACGCAUCAUCUGACUCUCCCCACUUCCCGUGACUGUGCAAAUAUUUAGCUUCACCUUCAUGCAGCCGGCGGUCCAUCUGUUAACAGGCUGGCCAGACAGGGGCCUGGUGGCACGGACCUGACCCAGAACUGCCAUGUUGCUGAGCGCUCGGAAGAACCGCCCUGACCUUUAAAGGCGCUGUUUCUCGGGAGCAGUCGCUUGCAGACUCGCCCAGCUGAGCCAAUCUAUUCAUUCAUUUGGCUUCCUGAGGUCCUCUCCGCAUCCCUCCGCAUACUGUGCCCACUCGGAUGGCCACUUCUUGCCGUGGGGGUCCCGUAGGUACCAUGGUCUGCGUCUUCCACUUCACCUCCUUGUUUGAGGCUGAAUGUCACUUCCUAUGCCAGGUGGUGUGGUCUUUGACUUUCUCUGUCCCCGGCUCAGCCUCUGGGCCUGAGGACUUGCCCCAGCACUGCCAGCUUGGGGUUGCAGUGUCGCCAUGGGCUUGGAGGGACAUGAUUAGCUCGUAUGGUUCAUGUGUUCCUCCAAAGAGAUUAAACCCAUGUCAUUAAAUCACUUCCAAGAUGUAA